RNAcentral lists this ribosomal RNA (468 nucleotides) under uncultured bacterium. RNAcentral's name for it is "partial 16S ribosomal RNA". It matches the Rfam family "Bacterial small subunit ribosomal RNA", at positions 28 to 507 of the family's 1533-position model. The record is from RNAcentral.
GACGAACGCUGGCGGCGUGCUUAACACAUGCAAGUCGAACGGAAAGGCCCUGCUUUUGUGGGGUGCUCGAGUGGCGAACGGGUGAGUAACACGUGAGUAACCUGCCCUUGACUUUGGGAUAACUUCAGGAAACUGGGGCUAAUACCGGAUAGGAGCUCCUGCUGCAUGGUGGGGGUUGGAAAGUUUCGGCGGUUGGGGAUGGACUCGCGGCUUAUCAGCUUGUUGGUGGGGUAGUGGCUUACCAAGGCUUUGACGGGUAGCCGGCCUGAGAGGGUGACCGGCCACAUUGGGACUGAGAUACGGCCCAGACUCCUACGGGAGGCAGCAGUGGGGAAUAUUGCACAAUGGGCGGAAACCUGAUGCAGCAACGCCGCGUGCGGGAUAACGGCCUUCGGGUUGUAAACCGCUUUCGCCUGUGACGAAGCGUGAGUGACGGUAAUGUGUAAAGAAGCACCGGCUAACUACGUG